RNAcentral lists this transfer RNA (69 nucleotides) under Rattus norvegicus (Norway rat). It matches the Rfam family "tRNA". Rfam says of the family: Transfer RNA (tRNA) molecules are approximately 80 nucleotides in length. Their secondary structure includes four short double-helical elements and three loops (D, anti-codon, and T loops). Lineage: Eukaryota; Metazoa; Chordata; Mammalia; Rodentia; Muridae. The record is from Rfam by way of RNAcentral.
GGGGAUUUAGCUCAGUGGUAGAGCUCUUGCCUAGCAAGUGCAAGGCCCUGGGUUCGGUUCCCAGCUCCG